GGUUCGAUCAUGGCUCAGAUUGAACGCUGGCGGGAUGCUUACAUGCAAGUCGAACGGCAGCACGGACUUCGGUCUGGUGGCGAGUGGCGAACGGGUGAUGUAUGUAUCGGAACGUGCUAGUAGCGGGGGAUAACUACGCGAAAGCGCUAGCUAAUACCGCACGCCCUUCAGGAAAGCAGAGGACGGGCCUCGCACUAUUAGAGCGGCCGAUAUCGGAUUGGCUAGUUGGUGGGGUAACGGCUCACCAAGGCGACGAUCCGUAGCUGGUUUUGAGAGGACGACUGGCAACCACACUGGGACUGGAACUGCGGCCCAGACUCCUACAGGAGGCAGCAGUGAAAUUUGGACAAUGAAACCUGAUCCAGCCAUCCCGCGUGUGCGAUGGAAACCUUCGGGUUGUAAAGCACUUUUGUGGCAGGAAAGAAACGGCACGGGAUAAUACCGUACCAGCGUGACUGUUACCUACUAGAAUAAAGAAAGCACCGGCUAACUACGUGCCAGCAGCGGUAAUACGUAAGUGCAAGCGUUAAUCGGAAUUACUGGGCGUAAAGCGUGCGCAGGCGGUUCCGGAAAGAAGAUGUGAAAUCCCAGAGCUUAACUUUGGAACUGCAUUUUUUAACUACCGAGCUAGAGGAGUGUGUCAGAGGGAGGGCAGAAUUCACCGAUAUUAGCAGUGAAAUGCAUGUAGAUAUGCGAACACCGAUGGCGAAGGCAGCCUCCUGGGAUAACACUGACGCUCAUACACACGAAAGCGGCAGGAGUAAACCUGGAUUAGAUACCUGGUAUGAUCUCCGCUUCUAAACGAUGUCAACAACAUAUUUGGGGCCUUCGGGCCUUGGUAGCGCAGCUAACACGUGGGAGAGAUUGACCGCCUGGGAAGUACGGUCGCAAGAUUCUGAAACUCAAAGGAAUUGACGGGGACCCGCACAAGCGGUGGAUGAUGUGGAUUAAUUCGAUGCAACGCGAAAAACCUUACCUACCCUUGACGCUGUCUGUAGUCCCACGAAGAGAUUUAGGAGUGCUCGCAAGAGAACCGGAACACAGGUGCUGCAUGGCUGUCGUCAGCUCGUGUCGUGAGAUGUUCAGGUUAAGUCCCGCAACGAGCGCAACCCUUGUCAUUAGUUGCUACGAAAGGGCACUCUAAUGAGACUGCCGGUGACAAACCGGAGGAAGGUGGGAUGACGUCAAGUCCUCGCGGCCCUUAUGGGUAGGGCUUCACGUCAUACAAUGGUCGGGACAGAGGUCGCCAACCCGCGAGGAGCCAAUCCCAGAAACCCGAUCGUAGUCCGGAUCGCAGUCUGCAACUCGACUGCGUGAAGUCGGAAUCGCUAGUAAUCGCGGAUCAGCAUGUCGCGGUGAAUACGUUCCACGGUCUUCUUACACCUACCCGUCACACCUAAGCAGGGUGGGUUUUACCAGAAGUAGUUAAUACUAACCGUAAGGAGAGAGAAUUUGGUGUACAGUAGGAUUCAUGACUGGGGUGAAGUCGUAACAAAGGUAG
This 1501-nucleotide ribosomal RNA is filed under the name uncultured Bordetella sp. Its description in RNAcentral is "partial 16S-23S ribosomal RNA intergenic spacer". It matches the Rfam family "Bacterial small subunit ribosomal RNA". The record is from RNAcentral. Lineage: Bacteria; Pseudomonadati; Pseudomonadota; Betaproteobacteria; Burkholderiales; Alcaligenaceae.